AACGAACGCUGGCGGCAGGCCUAACACAUGCAAGUCGAACGCCGUAGCAAUACGGAGUGGCAGACGGGUGAGUAACGCGUGGGAACAUACCCCUCGGUUCGGAAUAACUUAGGGAAACUUGAGCUAAUACCGGAUACGUCCGAGGUUUUAACCGGCCUCGGAGAAAGAUUUAUCGCCGGAGGAUUGGCCCGCGUCUGAUUAGCUUGUUGGUGAGUAAUGGCUCACCAAGGCGACGAUCAGAGCUGGUCUGAGAGGAUGAUCAGCCACAUUGGGACUGAGACACGGCCCAAACUCCUACGGGAGGCAGCAGUGGGGAAUAUUGGACAAUGGGCGAAAGCCUGAUCCAGCCAUGCCGCGUGAGUGAUGAA
RNAcentral lists this ribosomal RNA (368 nucleotides) under uncultured bacterium. RNAcentral describes it as "bacterial SSU rRNA". It matches the Rfam family "Bacterial small subunit ribosomal RNA", at positions 29 to 412 of the family's 1533-position model. The record is from RNAcentral.